RNAcentral lists this ribosomal RNA (253 nucleotides) under uncultured bacterium. RNAcentral describes it as "partial 16S ribosomal RNA". It matches the Rfam family "Bacterial small subunit ribosomal RNA", at positions 524 to 776 of the family's 1533-position model. The record is from RNAcentral.
UACAGAGGUGGCAAGCGUUGUUCGGAUUUACUGGGCGUAAAGGGUGCGUAGGCGGUUCCGUAUGUCGGGUGUGAAAUCCCACGGAUUCUCCGUGGAACGGCACUCGAAACUGCGGGGCUAGAGUGCAGGAGAGGAGGGCGGAAUUCUCGGUGUAGCGGUGAAAUGCGUUGAUAUCGAGAGGAACGCCGGUGGCGAAGGCGGCCCUCUGGACUGCCACUGACGCUGAGGCACGAAAGCUGGGGUAGCAAACAGG